UGAAUAUGCACAUGUGAAUGUCUGUUUUAAUUCACUGCCUGUGAAAAAAGCUUCAGGCGCCGCUCCGAGCUGGCAGCCAGUAUCAGCAGCUCCAGCCUGACAGAGUCCUUUUUUCCCUUUAAUAUUUGUUUCUUUGUUGUUCUUGUGAACCUUGUUUUUGUUUUUCUAUUGUGGACUGUGGACUGAGCUUUUCUUUUGUGGACUGAUCUCCCACAAUGGAGCUCGGAAUUUUAUGGACAAUCGUUUUUGUUAUUGCAUUUGUCACGGCAUCUGUGUCCGGAGAGCGCGUGGAGAUCCAACCUCGCAUUCUUUACAGCAGGGCUCUGUUGUUAGCCAGAAGCUGUUAGCCCUCGGCGCUUCUGCUGUUCUGCCUACCACCGAGCAAGCCAACAUCCCCCACAAGAUACUGGACUACCUCACAGAACGCCCACAGUAUGUGAUGACACAGGGCUGUGUCUCUGAUACACUGUCUACAGUACGGCGGCCUCACAGGGAACUGUGCUGGAUCUGUUCCUCUUCACCUCCUAGACUGCAGACUUCUCCAUUACCUCCCCAUGCUGCCACCAACAGAAGUUCUCUGACAACUCUGCCAUAGUUGUCAUCACCACAGUAACUUUGAUUGCUGCCUCCUCCAGUUCCUUGUCAAAGGGACUCCACAGCUCACUUUGAAUGUAAAGGCUCUUUCCAUCCUCCAGUAACACCUCCAGCUGGUUUGGCAUUUCUGCCGUGGCCACACCAAUGAUGAGAAUGUCAGCUCUCUCCUCGACUUUUGUCUGUUGACACAGCAUAGGCACACAUUUAGCCCAGAAAACGUUGGGCUUCUUUAUCCAACAAGAAAAAAAGAAAACCUAUGGUCAUCACGUGGUUUCACGAAGUCACCAAGACACAUACAUACACACAUUAUGUCUUGAUGCAUGCUCAAUCAUCCAGGGGUUGGAACCAGGGCCGGCUAUUAAAAUGGUCACCACCAGACCAAGGCUCAAUCGAGUCAUGGAAGGAGGAAUCAGGGUAAAGACAAAACUCUGCUUAUAGACGCACACGCCUCGGGGAAACCCGAUCCACGGACCAGACCCGGGACGGAGUUUCUUUCAGUGACCACAGUGCACACGUCUGAUGUCGCUCACAGUGGUCCAAGGAACCGCUCAGGGAGUUUGUGUGUUCGCUCAGACACCUGAAAAAUUAGAGGGAACAUUGGGCCUCUGACAUUCAAUACCCAGUUAUUAAAAUGUUAAGUGUAAAUCAUCCCCAGCCCACAAUAGCAGCUGAAUUUACUACGAUUUCAGAUCUUUUUACACGUCAAUAAG
This is a long non-coding RNA of Astatotilapia calliptera (eastern happy), 1304 nucleotides long. The record is from Ensembl. Lineage: Eukaryota; Metazoa; Chordata; Actinopteri; Cichliformes; Cichlidae.